CAUAGCCGACCUGAGAGGGUGAUCGGCCACAUUGGGACUGAGACACGGCCCAAACUCCUACGGGAGGCAGCAGUAGGGAAUCUUCGGCAAUGGACGAAAGUCUGACCGAGCAACGCCGCGUGAGUGAAGAAGGUUUUCGGAUCGUAAAACUCUGUUGUUAGAGAAGAACAAGGAUGAGAGUAACUGUUCAUCCCUUGACGGUAUCUAACCAGAAAGCCACGGCUAACUACGUGCCAGCAGCCGCGGUAAUACGUAGGUGGCAAGCGUUGUCCGGAUUUAUUGGGCGUAAAGCGAGCGCAGGCGGUUUCUUAAGUCUGAUGUGAAAGCCCCCGGCUCAACCGGGGAGGGUCAUUGGAAACUGGGAGACUUGAGUGCAGAAGAGGAGAGUGGAAUUCCAUGUGUAGCGGUGAAAUGCGUAGAUAUAUGGAG
RNAcentral lists this ribosomal RNA (429 nucleotides) under uncultured Bacilli bacterium. RNAcentral describes it as "bacterial SSU rRNA". It matches the Rfam family "Bacterial small subunit ribosomal RNA", at positions 282 to 703 of the family's 1533-position model. Lineage: Bacteria; Bacillati; Bacillota; Bacilli. The record is from RNAcentral.